Long non-coding RNA from Carassius gibelio (silver crucian carp), 3754 nucleotides. RefSeq lists it as uncharacterized. The transcript has 6 exons. NCBI's taxonomy places the organism in Eukaryota, Metazoa, Chordata, Actinopteri, Cypriniformes, Cyprinidae. The record is from RefSeq and is a predicted model, not a curated record.
CAGUGUGGCAGGAAGACAAAUAAACAACAGAGGACAGUUACAAUCUGGACAGCUAAGCAGCUUCCACAAUGACAGCUGCUAAAAUGUAGAUAGACUGCAAAUAUUUGGAUGGCUUUACAGAUCCCCAGACCAAAAAGAAUGACCAUGGAGCAACAUGACUUUCAGUUGCCAAAUUACAGAAUCGCUUACACACAGUCUCUGAAAGUCAUUUUACAUGCACUUUUUUAAAAUUAGUUAUAUACACUAGGAUUUGUUAGUUUUUUUAUUUUAAAUUUGUGUUCCUCCUUGAUUCUGUCAAUUUAGUGAUCCUGGCUGUAUUUGUGACACAUAAAUAUCACUGUUCUGUAAAGGCUGGAAUACACUAUAUGACUUCUGAACAGAUUUUAAAACACUAGACAUUAUGGGUGUGCGAUAAGAUGAUUUUUGAUUGUGGAUGAUAAAAAUGUCUCCACAGUCUGCUUUUGAAGUAGUAUCGUAAUAUCGAGCUACAGAGCACAUUCUAAUCAACUGCAUUUCUGUCGUCUCAGUCUCAAUAUUACGUUACUGUAGAAUGCCACAUACAUUCACAUCAGUGUUAACUCAGCGGUAGAGUUACUCUCGUGGGAUACUGCACUUACUCGCAAUUACAAAAGUACAUUUUUGGAUGUGCUUUAAAGCCUUGCCAGUUUAAUAUCUUUACGCGUUGUUCUGAUGUGCGCUUUUUCUGAGUGCAUACUCCCGAAGUGUGCGCACUAAAAAGCCUGUCAAACAGCACCCGAUUACUGAACUAAUUAAAGUCUAAAAUAAAAGUAAACUGUUAAGAAAAAAAUGGAUGCAUGUCUGUAUAUAAGAUGCAUGCAGCUCUUAAAGGGACAGUAUUAAACAUGCAGCCGACUGUCAAUAAAGGGUCAUGAAACCCCAGACAAUUUUUUCUGACAUUUAAGCAGGGGCUAACAUUGCCAUAGAAGACAAAUCUUAGCAUCCGAUAAUUUUAACUGUUGGAGAAAACUUGAUUAUUGUAAGCUUUUUUGCGCCAUUUUCAUUUUCUGGGUUUAAAAUCUACAUCCUGUUGACGUCAUAAUUCGAUGACGUGUCGUUGUCUAUUAAAUUAUUCAUGAUACUGUGCGUUCUUAUCCUAUGAGAAGACGCUUCGCGUAAUUAUUCACAACAGCAUGUGUUGACUUUCUAUGACAGACGCUUCAGACUGUGAGCAGUGUUGCCAAAAUUUGGACAGCUUUUUGAUACAACUGGUGUUGGUGACGCAUUCCUAAUCCUGCACCUGGCAACUGGUAUGUAAGGGCAUCCUAGAGGGAAUCUGCAUUUCCCGAAAGGCUUUUCUAGUUUAAGUAUAAGCUGUUCCUGUAAAACAGUAGCUCUUUAUCAUCCAAAAAAUGACAAGACAGAAACAGCACAUAAAAUCCAUACAGUAUACUUACACUUGAAGGUUUAAUCUCAACCCUUGUCUCUUACUAUUUCAGAAAUGGCUUCACUGCCAUUCAGCGAAAAGUGAGAAGAUUUCUGAAGCUCAAAUAAUGUGGAAAAAUAUACUUCUGAAGUCAUUCAUUUUUAAUCCUCUUUUUUAAAUGAUUAAUUUAUAUCUUUUCUAGUCCUUUCUAUCCUGCAGUGUUUUAUUUCCAGGUCCACAUGGCUCACCAACAGACCAAGAUGAAGGAACUAAAUAUGGUUGCAGUUGCUGAGAAGUACUGUAACCAGCUGAUCAAGCAGAAAACAGCAUGAAAGAAAGAGAUGUUAAAGAAGGACAAUAAUGUUGCCAAUGCUUGAAGUGCUCAAAACUAAUGGACCUGAGAAGAGACUUGGAAGCAUGGGAGUCAAUUCUGGCAAAGUCAGAAAAGGAAAAACAGGGCCUGGAUGACAAAGUACAGAAGCACACCUUUGCCAACGGGAUGAAAGUAUCGCUAACACCCAGAAUAAAAAGAAAGAUCUAGAGAAGCUCCAGCAGAAGGAAGAAACAUCAGAGUACAAUAGAUUUCCUCUAAGCUAGCCUAGAGGAAGAGGUCUGAGGACUAAGAAGAAAAUGGAUUCAGACUUGGAUAAAAUGACAGUGGCACCAAAAACAGUUGUGACCUUCAAGAGACUGGAGCUAUUUAACCUCGAACCAGACGGUGACUGAAAUCAAGGUGUGCAGUGGGUUGAAACCUCUAAACCUGCCAGGAAACCUUUUGAGCUGGUGGACAACACUGAGUGUCUGAAUGUGUAGGUAUACGUCAGCCUCAGUUGAGGUAAAUAGAGGUCAGCGUUGCGCAUGCGCCGGUGAGUCUCUUGAAAACCAAAGUUUGUUAACAGGAUCGAAAGAAGCAAAGUUUCCUUACUUUAGCAAAGGAGAACCAGCCUCCUCUUGGCUUAUAUCCUCUAACAUUCCGUUGUUUUGUUUUGAUCUCUCUGCUGUGUGUCCGUUCGGCCACUUGAGCGGCGCAUGCACAACACUGACCUCCAUACGUUAUCUGCCCGAAACUGCUUCCUUUUACACAGUGAGCGCAAGCUAGAUUAAAGUGAUUAUUACGUUUUGAAUAUGGAUAUUUUUCUUACAAAAAAGCAUCGAUUCACUAAAGGAGGCCUUUGUUCACCCCCUGGAGCCAUGUGAAACACUUUUUAAGGACGGGCGCUUUUUAUUUAACUUCUUUUGGACUGAAGCAAUGCAACACCCUUUGAGUGUCAUUAAACAACUUGAAAGACCAAAGACUUGUUAAAAUUAAAAUUUUAAUAUAACUUCGACUGGAUUUUUCUAAAAUAAGAAAGUCAUAUACACCUAGGAUGACUUGAGGGUAAGUCAUUUAGGGCCUAAUUUUCAUUUUGGGUAAACUAACCCUUUCACAAAGUAGCAUUAAAAUGAAAAUAGAAUGCGAUUUAAAUUUAUGUUUGAAAUGCCAGCUGUAGCAAUCUUUAUUUAAUUUAAAGAUGUUUUGAGGCUUGGGGUCGGUAAGGUUUUUUCUAAAUGCAUUAGAAAUCUCUUAUGCUCAUCAAAGCUGCAUUUAUUUGAUUUUCAACAUCAUUACUCCAGUCUUAAGUGUCACAUGAUCCUACAGAAACAAUUCUAAUAUGGUAAUUUGCUGAACAAUACAUUUUUCUUAUUAUUAGUUGUGAUGCUUCAUAUUUUUUGCGGAAAUUCCAAAGAACAGCAUUUAUUUUAAAUAUAAAUAAUUUGUAACAAAUGAAAUGUCUUAACCUUACCUUUUUAUCAUUUUGAUGCUUGAUGAUUACUGACCCACAAGCUUUUGGUAGCGUAGCCUAUAUGUGACCCUGGACCACAAAACCAAUCAUAAGAAUACAUUUUUUUAUAUUUUGAUUCAUACAUCACCUGACAGGCUAAAUAAAUAAGCAUUGAUGUAUGGUUAAUUGAGAUUGAGGACAUUAUUUGGCCGAGAUACAACUAUUUGAAAAUCUGGAACCUGUAGUUGCAAAAAAAAAAAAAUCUAAAUAUUGAACCUUUAAAGUUGUCCAAAUGAAGUUCUUAGCAAUGCAUAUUACUAAUCAAAAAAAAUUAUAUUUAUAUAUUUACAGUAGGAAAUUUACAAAAUAUAUUCAUGGAAAAUGAUCUUUACUUAACAUCCUAAUGAUUUUUGGCAUAAAAAAAUCAAUAAUUUUGACCAUUACAAUAUAUUUUUGGCUAUUGCUACAAGUAUACCCCAGCAACUUAAGACUGGUUUUGUGCUCCAGGGUCACAUAUGCAUAUAUGUAACACUUAAAAUGUUGACAACUUAUUUGGCCUUGGUUAUACUGUAGAAUCAUCAAAAUGGCAGAAUUCAUCCCACAUGAA